CUGAUCAACGGGGAUUUUAACCUCAUCUACGAGGCGAGGGACAAAAACAACCACCACCUCAACCGUAGGCUCAUGGGCAUGUUCAGACAAGCCAUUGACAGCGCCGGCCUAAAAGAAAUCAAAUGCAAGAACCGCCGAUAUACCUGGAGCAACGAGCGCGAGAACCUGACUCUCGUCAGCAUCGACAAGUUUUUCUGCACUAGUAGUUGGGAUGAUCUUUUCCCCUCAAGCGUGCUGAUGGCAGCAUCUACAGCAAUGUUGGAUCCCUGCCCGCUUCUCCUGGCCGACGCUGCCGCCCCUCGACGCCGCGCAAAAUUCAAAUUUGAGAGCUUUUGGCCGCUCUUCCCGCGCUUCCAGGAGACGGUCGCCCACACUUGGAGCCGGCCAGUGCAAAGCGCCUGUGCUUUCAAGCGGCUAGAAAUCAAGAUGGCGUGCACAGCCAAGGAUUUAAAAAUCUGGAGUUCCUCCUUCUUUAGCGACGCCAAGCUCCAAUUCCACAUAGCAAGCGAGAUCAUCCUGCGUUUAGACAUUGCCCAAGAGUCUCGCAACCUCUCCACGCUGGAAUUUAAUCUUUGA
Molecule: ribosomal RNA, 576 nt
Filed under: Triticum aestivum (bread wheat)
Lineage: Eukaryota; Viridiplantae; Streptophyta; Magnoliopsida; Poales; Poaceae
Description: partial small subunit ribosomal RNA
Source: RNAcentral